Long non-coding RNA from Alligator sinensis (Chinese alligator), 727 nucleotides. RefSeq lists it as uncharacterized. The transcript has 4 exons. NCBI's taxonomy places the organism in Eukaryota, Metazoa, Chordata, Crocodylia, Alligatoridae. The record is from RefSeq and is a predicted model, not a curated record.
AGAAGAGGCACAUGAGGGGUUGUUCCUUAAUAAACGUCAUCACAAAGGCAAUAACAAUCCUUAGUGGAAGAAGAGGAAAUCAGAGGCCAGCCCCUGGACAGACAGAUGAUAGAAUGACUACUCCUAAUAAUGACAUAACUUUCUACCUUCCCAAGAUCUGCCCGUUGCAUCUGGUGUUAAGCUUCUCACAGAAACAUCUAUUUCUUCUUCUUUCUCUUCACUACCUAUCUCUCUUGUGAUGCCUAAAUGAAACCAUCCAGUUAAAGAUCGCACAGCAAACUGGCAAAGACAGCAUGACUCCAGUCAGCAAAAAUGUCUGUGGCUCCAAUCAGCUUGGGGUGACAUUGCCAACUUGGACUAGCUACAAGCAAACUAUCAAAUGAUAGCAGCAACUAUCAAAGCUAACAACAAGGAUGAGGACCACAGCAGUGAUACACCCUGUUUUCCUGCCAACAUACUCUUAGUCAUCAGAUGUUUGGUACUCAAGCAAAACUCUUUCAAUCCUGUAUCACAUUCUGAAACCUGAGAUCAUCUAGAUGAGUGGCACACAGGAUAUCAUGUUUUAUUCAUCAAAAAGGAUGUUAAAGUCAUCAUACCUUAAAUUAGAAACAGUGCAGCUUAUUGAUACCAAAAACAUGCAAAUAUGCAAUAAUUUUAGCAUGAAGUAUAAAUUAUUUUACAGAUGUAAAAUAGACUGGUAUCUGCUAUCUAAUAAAACACCUGUUGU